This 362-nucleotide unclassified non-coding RNA is filed under the name fungal sp. Its description in RNAcentral is "partial internal transcribed spacer region". The stretch from base 1 to 46 matches the Rfam family "Eukaryotic small subunit ribosomal RNA", at positions 1786 to 1831 of the family's 1831-position model. Lineage: Eukaryota; Fungi. The record is from RNAcentral.
AAGUCGUAACAAGGUAACCGUAGGUGAACCUGCGGUUGGAUCAUUAACAAAUUUAAUGAGAAGGGUAAUGGUCUCACUCUCGGGUGGAUCACUAUCUUUUUUCAACCCCAAACCUUUUGCCAGUUCCCUUUUGGGGAGCUGUGUGAACUCUAAUGUUGUACCUCUUGUUCUUGGCGAGUUAAAACGAGCAUACACUGGAACUUUUUCAAUUUCCUAUGCCCGGUUCUCUAGCAAUUGCUAGAAUCCACUCGCCGAGAAACUUGCUAUUCUAAACUUUUUUCAAUACCUACUCGACAUUUAAACCUUUUGAAUCCAAUUUUCAAAAAUUUAAACAACUUUUGGCAACGGAUCUCUAGGCUCUU